CCUACGGGUGGCAGCAGUGGGGAAUCUUGGGCAAUGGACGAAAGUCUGAACGAGCCACGCCGCGUGAGGGAAGACGGCUCUAUGAGUGGUAAACUGCGUUUGUAGGAGAGUAAAAGCAGAUACGUAUAUCUGUGUGCAAGUACGGUAUGAAUAAGGAUCGGCUAACUCCGUGCCAGCAGCCGCGGUGAGACGGAGGAUACAAGCGUUGUCCGGAGUUAUUGGGUUUAAAGUGUGCGUAGGCGGUGGGAUAAGUUAGAGGUGAAAUCCCGAGGCUCAACUUAGGAGUGGCCUUUGAUACUGUUAGGCUAGAGUGCAGUUGAGGUAGGCGGAAUGCGUGGUGUAGCGGUGAAAUGCUUAGAGAUCAUGCAGAACACCGAUUGCGAAGGCAGCUUACCAAGCUACUUCUGACGUUGAGGCACGAAAGCGUGGGGAGCAAACAGGAUUAGAUACCCGUGUAGUC
RNAcentral lists this ribosomal RNA (460 nucleotides) under uncultured bacterium. Its description in RNAcentral is "partial 16S ribosomal RNA". It matches the Rfam family "Bacterial small subunit ribosomal RNA", at positions 338 to 795 of the family's 1533-position model. The record is from RNAcentral.